This 465-nucleotide ribosomal RNA is filed under the name uncultured bacterium. RNAcentral's name for it is "partial 16S ribosomal RNA". It matches the Rfam family "Bacterial small subunit ribosomal RNA", at positions 28 to 507 of the family's 1533-position model. The record is from RNAcentral.
GACGAACGCUGGCGGCGUGCUUAACACAUGCAAGUCGAACGGAAAGGCCCCUUUGGGGGUACUCGAGUGGCGAACGGGUGAGUAACACGUGAGUAACCUGCCCUUGACUUCGGGAUAACUUCAGGAAACUGGGGCUAAUACCGGAUAGGAAUCCUUGCUGCAUGGUGGGGGUUGGAAAGCUUUGGCGGUUUUGGAUGGACUCGCGGCUUAUCAGCUUGUUGGUGGGGUAGUGGCUUACCAAGGCUUUGACGGGUAGCCGGCCUGAGAGGGCGACCGGCCACAUUGGGACUGAGAUACGGCCCAGACUCCUACGGGAGGCAGCAGUGGGGAAUAUUGCACAAUGGGCGGAAGCCUGAUGCAGCAACGCCGCGGGCGGGAUGACGGCCUUCGGGUUGUAAACCGCUUUCAGCAGGGGCGAAGCUUGUGGUGACGGUACCUGCAGAAGAAGCACCGGCUAACUACGUG